AGUGCAAAAGGUCUUAUCGCUCUCUGCUUUGUAGGGAGAGGAAAGUCCGGACAACAAAGAGCACCGUACUUCUUAAUGGGAAGGCUCCGGGGUGCAUGCCCUGGAGACAGCUAGUGCCACAGAAAACAAACCGCCCUAAACAGACCGCCGCAAGGUGAACUGCCACGGGUAAGGGUGAAAAGGCGGGGUAAGAGCCCACCGUGCUGUUGGUGACAACAGUAGCCUGGCAAACCUUACGGGUUGAAAGAUCAAAUAGGUUUUAUUUUUCUAAAUGAAAAUGGGCUGCUCGCUCAUGGCUUAAUCGCCGGUAAAACGGGUAGAUCGAACGAGCCACAUGGUGACAUGCGGCCCAGAUAAUGAUAAGAUCACAGGAUGGUUGCCGCAAGGCAGACAUGCUGUGAACAGAAUCCGGCUUAUACUUUUGCACUAUUU
Molecule: RNase P RNA, 432 nt
Filed under: Cyclobacteriaceae bacterium
Lineage: Bacteria; Pseudomonadati; Bacteroidota; Cytophagia; Cytophagales; Cyclobacteriaceae
Description: RNase P RNA component class A
Rfam family: Bacterial RNase P class A
About the family: Ribonuclease P (RNase P) is a ubiquitous endoribonuclease, found in archaea, bacteria and eukarya as well as chloroplasts and mitochondria. Its best characterised activity is the generation of mature 5'-ends of tRNAs by cleaving the 5'-leader elements of precursor-tRNAs. Cellular RNase Ps are ribonucleoproteins.
Source: RNAcentral